Ochotona princeps (American pika) is the source of this 1036-nucleotide long non-coding RNA. RefSeq lists it as uncharacterized. The record is from RefSeq and is a predicted model, not a curated record. NCBI's taxonomy places the organism in Eukaryota, Metazoa, Chordata, Mammalia, Lagomorpha, Ochotonidae. The transcript is spliced from 4 exons.
GGAUGAAGAUCCUUGGAUUUUAAGGAUACUCACGGAUGGCAGUGACCAACACUGACAGUGACAAUUCCAGAAAAGAAGUCAAGGAUCAACAGCAGUCCAUAUUCUACUGCUGAAUCUCUCAGGUGAGCUGGGAAGUGGGCUAUGACACAAUAGAAGUCCGCAAUGGCCAUCUGGCAGGAAACUACGACCCUUUUUCCUAAGGAAGGAAGUGAGAAGUCACAUGGAGGCAUUUCAGGUUUUGUGUGAAGAUCUAGCUUGGCUAUGGAUGCCCAGGAAGCACCUAUUGAAAGUGAAGUGAAUUACAAUCCCUUAGCCUGGAUCUUGUCAAUGUAUGGCACGGAGAUGUGAUAAUGGAACCAGAGAAAAACCCAACAGGAAGAGGCAUCUAGAGAUCUGACAAGUACCAUUGAAGAAGAAUGUUCCUAAUUUUGGAGAGUCAAGGCCAAAAUUCAGAUAAUUCUACAGGUGGAGAGAGCUGAGGAAAUGGUGCCUGUAUGCUGCCUGAAGAAUUUGAAUGCAUGGAUGAAACGUUGGUGUUUUUAUGGAUUUUAUGUCACAGUCCUGAGAAACACAGUGAACAAGUGCAUUUUUAAAUGAAACUGAGAAGUAACAGCUCUGAAUAUAUAUAUAUAUAUAUUUUUCAAAGAGAUCCCAUUCAUUUUUUCCUCUAAAUAGUCACUAAUGCUAUUAAUUCACUCUUACUUUAAAAGCAAGUGUCUUUUGGCUAUGCAAGGCAUAGAAAAGAGAAAAAAAUUACAGCUUAUUUUUCUGAGAAUUUCACCUCUUAAAAAGCUUUUCAUUCUGUCUCUCUGCAUUAGUUACUUUCCCAAGAUGGAGAAAAAAAAAAUAUUCUGGGUGUUUCUAAGAAUUAAAAAUACUUUACUCCGUCAGCCUCAUUUUCUUAUCUGCAAAAUUGGAGUUGUCCACUGAGUAGGCUUUAAGAACUCUUCCUCCAAGGUUACGGGAUUACGCAAGCAGGCUGGAGAGAAAUGGAACGAAGAACUAUGAGAAGAAGCCAGAGCUGUCAAUAGUCCAG